This 528-nucleotide long non-coding RNA is filed under the name Homo sapiens (human). RNAcentral's name for it is "HSALNT0270620". Lineage: Eukaryota; Metazoa; Chordata; Mammalia; Primates; Hominidae. The record is from RNAcentral.
CACACCUGAGGGUGCCGUGGUCAGAGACUCACCGGGGACGCAUGUGAUUCACACUGGUGCUCUGGUCGCCGGGUCAGAGACUCACUGGGGACGCAUGUGAUUCACACUGGUGCGCUGGCCGCCGGGUCAGAGACUCACUGGGGACACAUGUGAUUCACACUGGUGUGCUGGCCGCCGGGUCAGAGACUCACUGGGGACGCGUGUGAUUCACACUGGUGCGCUGGCCGCUGGGUCAGAGACUCACUGGGGACGUGACUCUGGAACCUUGCAGGCAGCAGCGGGUAGCCAUGGGGCAGAGCAUGCAGACUCUAGGCACAUGUGGGCAAAGACCCGCCAGGUGUGGGGCACAGCAGGGAGCUCAGGGCCAUCCCCGACCCCCAGGGUCCCUGUUUCCUUCUAGAAAGAGGAUGACAGUCUGGGAAGGAGCUGGGCCUGAGUGUGGGUCAGGAGGCUGGGAAGUGACCAUGUGGGGUGAAGGGAGUUCUUGGAAGAACCCUGGGUUCCUGAGGCUGCAGCUCAGGACGUGGG